Molecule: non-coding RNA, 123 nt
Organism: Echria macrotheca
Lineage: Eukaryota; Fungi; Ascomycota; Sordariomycetes; Sordariales; Schizotheciaceae
Source: the annotation of a GenBank genome assembly
GGUCGAGUGGCGCAAUGGUAGCGCGUUACUUUCCGGUUCUAUCGUGUGGCCGCCCUUCAUUAAGGGAAAAGGCUGUCGUGUUCCAGCUGGUAAAGGUUCUGGGUUCGAAUCCCAGCUUGAUCG